RNAcentral lists this ribosomal RNA (389 nucleotides) under uncultured bacterium. Its description in RNAcentral is "bacterial SSU rRNA". It matches the Rfam family "Bacterial small subunit ribosomal RNA", at positions 86 to 507 of the family's 1533-position model. The record is from RNAcentral.
GGUGGAAGGGUGGCGGACGGGUGAGUAACACGUGGGAAUCUGCCUUUUGGUUCGGGAUAACCGCGGGAAACUGCGGCUAAUACCGAAUGCCCUCGAGAGAGGAAAGAUUUAUCGCCAGAAGAGGAGCCCGCGUCCGAUUAGGUAGUUGGUGGGGUAAAGGCCUACCAAGCCGACGAUCGGUAGCUGGUCUGAGAGGAUUGAUCAGCCACACUGGGGACUGAGAUACGGCCCAGACUCCUACGGGAGGCAGCAGGUGGGGAAUAUUGGACAAUGGGGGCAACCCUGAUCCAGCAAUGCCGCGUGAGUGAUGAAGGCCUUAGGGUUGUAAAGCUCUUUUGCCAGGGAAGAUGAUGACUGUACCUGGAGAAUAAGCCCCGGCUAACUUCGUG